Clupea harengus (Atlantic herring) is the source of this 3950-nucleotide long non-coding RNA. RefSeq lists it as uncharacterized. NCBI's taxonomy places the organism in Eukaryota, Metazoa, Chordata, Actinopteri, Clupeiformes, Clupeidae. The record is from RefSeq and is a predicted model, not a curated record. The transcript is spliced from 2 exons.
UGUGCCAGUUACUGUAGUUAGUUUCUAGAAUAUUUUUUAUGACGCCAUCUCUUUGAGCCCUUAAAAAAUAUGACUGUGAAGAGCAAAAGGCUUUUGAACUUUGUUAUCAGUUACAGGAAGGACAGGGACGGGAAAACAUCAUUCAGGAAGGACUCACCUUUACAAAGUAGAUAGGGGAAAGGAUUUUAUGUUGUAACAACAUUGUAUUUUUUAGUAAACUGUCUUGUCAGAAAUCAAGUGUCCUUCAUUUGAAAUGUGAACGAUAACUCGGCUGCAACAGUUAUGGGGACGUCUCCCUGUGUCUUGGUUGCUGUCUUCUCGGCCUGUUGGAUCACAAACGUCAUUCCCAGCCUUCCACAGACUCAACCAAUAGACUGCAUAACAAAUUCAUCUGUGCCGCUGGGGGAAAUAGAUGAAGGAUACAGAGGUACAGUCAUGAUCACUGCAUUGUCCUUUGCCAUUUCAAGCAUCUGUAUAAUGUGGUAUUUCUCAGCACGCUGUAAGUCAGCCAAAAAUGUUUCCAAAUCCACAAGGAAAGUUCAUUCCAUCUUCUAAGAAUCGUGGCAGUUUGCAAUUACAUGAUAGACAUGCAUAUCAAACGUGUUCACGGAAGUGCGAAGCGUACACUAAUUUGCCCUCAUCCACUUGGCCUGUGAAUACAACCUAGCCGUCUUCAUUAUACAAUAUAAUCAACUGAUAGCACACACAACGCAGACUAUAAUAUUAAGACUAAAAAUGUGAAGAUGUCCUAGCCGUCUUCAUUAUACAAUAUUUUAUUUAUUAUUUAUUUAUUAUUUAAUAUUAUGCAAUUUUUUUUUCUCUGACUUUAGCGUUUUUUAUUAUUAUAUUUGAUUUUUGUCAUUGAUUGUUUUACCGUAUAAAGCACCUUGAGAUUUAAUUGUAUUUUAAAGAGUGCUAUUUAAAUAUUAUCCAUUAUUUUUCAUCUGAUAGCACACACAAAGCAUACUUUAAUUCAAGAGUAUUGGAAACAGAAAAACACAUUAUUACUUCAUUUUGUGAGGUUAGGCUACAGCUUUGUGUGUGUGAGUGAGAGAGAAUGCCUCUGACAGUAUAGCACGAACUUGGUUUCUAUUACUGUAUUCAGCUUUCAGCAGCUGGGAACACGGUAACGAGAACAAAAACACUUUAGUGCUUCAGAAAAACUGAAUAAUUGUCUGUACAACAAUUUUCUGUAUGUAGAUAUAGUUUAGUAUUGUGCUAAAUUACACCAUGGAUACACUGACAAUGAAUAAUCCUUUCUGAACCAAGGCUCUCGUUGUUUUUUUGUCAUGCUAAAAAAUCUGAAGGCACAUUACGAGAAAAGAAAAUUCAAGUAUUCCUAUGACUCUUACGACCUGCCUUAAAUAAACCCCGUCAGUGAUGUGCGGGUCCAUAUGUGAGCUGGAUGAAACUAUGAGCUGUAGAACAGGCUAUUUCAAAAGUAAACAGACCGUAAAUGACCGAAACUCAAAAAUUCAUGUAGGCUACACACUGUCCACUUUUUUUUAACAGUCAUGCACUUUUUAUUACACGAGGACUACAUAAAUCAGGCUUUUUUUGCACUUUAAUCCCUGAUUGCACCUCCUUCCGGUUAAAACGACAGCAUUUGGACGUUGGCCCGGUUGGAGGUGCAAUCAGGAAUCAAAGCACAAAAAAACUUGCAUUUGGCCGUUGCAAGUGGAAAUGUGUGAAGUGACGUACUUAGAGUUUGUGUUCAGAUCACCCAGGACGCAUGUUUAUACCAGGUGUAUAGCGGCUCAGAGAGAGGCCCUCUGGCCAGACUUUGGUGUUACUGUCAGUGUGUGUUUGUGUGUGUGAGUGAGUGAGUGAGAAAGAUCAUGUUGCCAGCAAAUGUUUAUAUUUCCCCUUUCCUUCUAGAUGUAUGAUGUUUGACAUUCGAGACCAUGCAAAUAUAGCUUGGACAUGUUUAUGUGGUGCUGUCAUGUGAUAUAACACAACUUAGACUCAUAACACAACUUAGACUCACAAUACUAAGAGCACUCGGAACUUAGGUUCACAUCAUACUCUACCUGUGAAACAAAAAAUGUUUUGUGGAUUUGAGUGUGUGUGCAAACAAGAGAGCAGUGUUGUAGUCCAGGGUAUACGCGGGUAUACAGAGUAUACCCACUUAUUUUUCAGUCAGCAUUGCGUAUACCCACUUCUCAAAACAGGGCGUUUAUCCUGUGCUACUGUAUAUGGGCUGCUUAAAAAAAUUGCAAAAUUAAGAGUAUACCCACUUCUCCAGGGACCACUACACCACUGCAAGAGAGUAUUUCAAAAGUCUGUAUGCCAUUUAUGUCAGGUUUAAAUGCUGUGUGUUAGAUAAGUAAUGUCUCUUUGACCGUCCUAUUGCUAAUUCCGGGUCGCUCCCCAUUCAUUGGCUGAUCUCGUGUGCCUGAAAUAGCUGCUCAAAAUCCCCAUCCUUAGCUCUGACCCCAACUACCCCAGUAUUUUACCCCUACAUCUAAUCCUUGUGUUUUUCCCCACAGUAAACUACCCCAGUAUUUUACCCCUACAUCUAACAUGUCAAGCACAUCAUCAGUCAUUAUUAUUAUUUCUUCUUUCCUGCACGAGAACAGGUAUCAUAGAGAUCAUUCCAUAUGGCGUAUACAGAUGUCCACAGAUUUUAGUUUCUCCUCACUAUCCCUCACUGUCCCUCCAUAGUCUUGGUACACCUCAAAUUCGUUAGCAGCAGAAUCAAUAUAUCUUUCUUUUUGGUCAUUUUAUUUGUGUCCUUUUUUUAAAGAUCUGGCACAACCAGAAGGAAGAUUGAUUUCUGACAAUUUGUUACAGCUUAAUUUAAAUCAGUAUGCACGUUUAAGUGUAUAACACAACAGCUUUAACAAUGCUAUCAAUGUAUAUAAGUGUAUAUAAGUUAAGUGUAUAACAUAGCUGCUUUAACAAUGCAAACAUUUCAUUGUUGCAGUAUGAAUGAUAUGCACCAUCAGUAGACAGUUCAAUGAUCUUAUUCAUUUCAUAGUCUGCUCUGUAGAUGUUGCAUGCAUUCUGUUGUUAGAACACAUUUAAGCACACUGUCACGCCAGCACUGAGCCUUGCACCUGCCACACCCCCUCUAACCAAAACUCACCCAGCUGCAUCACUUUUCCGAUCACCUGAAUUCUGAUGGACUGCACCUGUCACGCUCACAAUAAGAACCCCUCACUCCCUUCACUCACUGUCUGGCCUUGUUGGUUAAUGGACGUAUCUUCCUGAUUCUUUCAUAUUCAGACAAAGCUCCCUGUGAUUUACUAAUCACCUCUCCUGUCUCCAGUUCCGUGAGAUAUUCCGAAUGUGUUUUUGUUUCCGAGCUCCAGUGUUUCCUUGGUUUCCUUCGUAUUCUAGUUCUCCGUACGUUUUGAAAAUACUUCUGGGCUUUACAUUUUGUAAUUCAGAACUCCUUGUGAGUAAUUUUUGUUUAAUCAAGAAAAGAUCUCCAGUGUUUUGGCUUUUUCAGUUCUGUAGUUAUCCUCUGAGCGUUCUCCCUGUUUUCUUUUGUUUUUUACCUGUGUGUUUUUCCCUUUCCCCUGGCUCUUCAUCCAAUAAAUCUGUUAACGCAUAUGUCCUGAUGUCCCUGACACACAGGUUUGAGGGUAGGAUGAUCAACCAUGCAUGCUGGUUGGUUCUGAAGCUGCAUAGUCUUGUAACCUUGACAAUUAGAAAUAACUUGGAAUAUAGAACAGAUGAUGACUGCAUGUAAUUCCGACAAAAAUUCCUUCUACCUGUGGUAUCUCCCAGUAUCAGGAAAGAGUGACAACAUUAUUCCUGAUCCUUCGUGUAAUGCAGGUGUCCUGAAAUGUAGGGGUGUUCUUUGAUUCUGAUUUCAGCUUUGUAAAUACUAGGUAGACAUCAUUUUGAAAAGUGUAGUUUGCAUUUGUGAAGGGAUUCUAAAAAAAUAUAAAAAAGCGACACAAUGCCUUUUAAUUCUACAAAUAAAGAUGAAAUUCUACAAA